GAUGAAGAACGUAGCGAAAUGCGAUACGUAAUGUGAAUUGCAGAAUUCAGUGAAUCAUCGAGUCUUUGAACGCACAUUGCGCCCUCUGGUAUUCCGGAGGGCAUGCCUGUCCGAGCGUCAUUGCUGCCCUGAAGCACGGCUUGUGUGUUGGGCUCCGUCCCCCGAUCCCGGGGGACGGGCCCGAAAGGCAGCGGCGGCACCGCGUCCGGUCCUCGAGCGUAUGGGGCUUUGUCACCCGCUCUGUAGGCCCGGCCGGCGCUUGCCGAUCAACCAAAUUUUUAUCCAGGUUGACCUCGGAUCAGGUAGGGAUACCCGCUGAACUUAAGCAUAUCAAUAAGCGGAGGA
RNAcentral lists this unclassified non-coding RNA (345 nucleotides) under soil metagenome. RNAcentral describes it as "partial contains 5.8S ribosomal RNA, internal transcribed spacer 2, and large subunit ribosomal RNA". The stretch from base 1 to 120 matches the Rfam family "5.8S ribosomal RNA", at positions 35 to 154 of the family's 154-position model. The record is from RNAcentral.